GGACGAACGCUGGCGGCGUGCUUAACACAUGCAAGUCGAGCGGAAAUAUAUUGAAGAUUCGUCGGAUAUAUAUUUAGCGGCGGACGGGUGAGUAACGCGUGGGCAAUCUGCCUCACACAGGGGAAUAACACUGGGAAACUAGUGCUAAUACCGCAUGAUAUAGUGAAGUGGCAUCACUUUACUAUCAAAGGAGCAAUCCGGUGUGAGAUGAGCCCGCGUCCGAUUAGCUAGUUGGUGAGGUAACGGCCCACCAAGGCGACGAUCGGUAGCCGAACUGAGAGGUUGAUCGGCCACAUUGGGACUGAGACACGGCCCAGACUCCUACGGGAGGCAGCAGUGGGGAAUAUUGCGCAAUGGGGGAAACCCUGACGCAGCAACGCCGCGUGAAGGAUGAAGGUUUUCGGAUUGUAAACUUCUUUGAUUGGGGACGAUAAUGACGGUACCCAAAAAACAAGCCACGGCUAACUACGUGCCAGCAGCUGC
This 483-nucleotide ribosomal RNA is filed under the name uncultured bacterium. RNAcentral's name for it is "bacterial SSU rRNA". It matches the Rfam family "Bacterial small subunit ribosomal RNA", at positions 27 to 518 of the family's 1533-position model. The record is from RNAcentral.